GGGCGGUUAGCGCAGUGGUAGCGCGUAUGCUUUGCAUGUAUAAGGUCCAGGGUUCAAUCCCCUGAUCGUCCA
RNAcentral lists this transfer RNA (72 nucleotides) under Phlebopus portentosus. RNAcentral describes it as "tRNA-Ala (TGC) (tRNA-Ala-TGC-1-1)". It matches the Rfam family "tRNA". Rfam says of the family: Transfer RNA (tRNA) molecules are approximately 80 nucleotides in length. Their secondary structure includes four short double-helical elements and three loops (D, anti-codon, and T loops). Lineage: Eukaryota; Fungi; Basidiomycota; Agaricomycetes; Boletales; Boletinellaceae. The record is from RNAcentral.